RNAcentral lists this ribosomal RNA (267 nucleotides) under uncultured prokaryote. RNAcentral describes it as "partial 16S ribosomal RNA". It matches the Rfam family "Bacterial small subunit ribosomal RNA", at positions 524 to 792 of the family's 1533-position model. The record is from RNAcentral.
UACGUAGGGGCGAGCGUUAUCCGGAAUUAUUGGGCGUAAAGGGUUCGUAGGCGGUAAUACAUGUCAGAUGUGAAAUCUUGUGGCUUAACCACAUCAAGCAUCUGAAACUGUAUAACUUGAGUGGAGGAGAGGUAAGUGGAAUUCCUAGUGUAGCGGUGAAAUGCGUAGAUAUUAGGAAGAAUACCAGUAGCGAAGGCGACUUACUGGCCUCUAACUGACGCUGAUGAACGAAAGCGUGGGUAGCAAACAGGAUUAGAUACCCUGGUA